Coregonus clupeaformis (lake whitefish) is the source of this 2646-nucleotide long non-coding RNA. RefSeq lists it as uncharacterized. The record is from RefSeq and is a predicted model, not a curated record. Lineage: Eukaryota; Metazoa; Chordata; Actinopteri; Salmoniformes; Salmonidae. The transcript is spliced from 6 exons.
GUGUUGUGUGCAGUAUGUAAAGAAUUGCUGUUUUUAUAACAUUUGUAUUGAACCUUUAUUUAACCAGGAAGACCCAUUGAGGCCAGAAAAGGGAGACCUGGCCAAGAAGGCCAGCAGUACAUACAAAAGAACACAUAGAAUUCCACAGCACAGCAAAAACAUGACUCCCUCCAACCCAGUCUCUCAUUUCGUAUGUACUAUAUGUACAAAUAAGCACAAUGUUGUUAUGUACUAAUAGCACAAACUUAUGGCGCAUUGAACUCAAUAACACCAGACAUCUCUGAUGCCACACCCCUUCUGAAUCCCUUUAAACUCUGUUGUGGUAUUAGUACAAAUAAACAUAACUGCUUAUUUGGUUGAAAGUAGCUAGCUAUUUUACAGUGAGCACAUUGAAAUACUUUUUAGCGAAUUAUUGAGGUAAUUAUUUCAUGAUUUUAAAGUGUCUGCCAGUGAGUGACGGACUGUGAAACUCAAUCUCCUAUGAUUCCUUAGUAUCGGAACUGACCGUUUUAUCAUUUGUACCAGAACUGACCGUUGUGGUCAUUCUUAUUAUACCUGUGGUUGUGUUGAAUACCACACCCAACUUAAAAUAAACAAUUAUUCUGCACAGAAUACAUGACAUAUAACAGAAUAAACUAUUUUGCCUUUUAAUUAGAUCUUUGAUGGCGUAGCUAGUUUAUUUAUGGCCUGUGUGUGUCCCAUAGAAAUAUGAUUACAUCGCACAUUUUAAACUGUAAACUGUCAUUGUCUUUUUGGUGUCUGUAUACCAAUUGUGUAAAUAUGAAUACACAUCUAGUUCAUACAUAAUAAUACCAGCUUUGUUCACACCUGAGAUGUUAGUGAAUUAAAGCAGAUAAAUAACAAAAACAUUGUAGAGUUAACUGUGGAGGCUUUGCCUUUUGCUUUUGCACAAUAUAACGCAGUUCCCACGAUAAUGAAAAUCAACCAUCCACAAUGUAUACCAAUUUACUUCUAUCAUGUGUGAAUCUACUAUAUAUAUAUUUGAUUGUGUCUCACAGUAUAUGAUCACACAUUUUGGUACUUUUUUUUCUAAGUUAACAUACAAUAAUGUUUAUGUUCAACCAAAUAGAGAAAUGAGCUUGAUCAAAGAGCAGGAUGCGGCACGGGUGGCAUUUGAGGAGGCUCUUCGAGAAAGCUAUCGCACAGCAUUACAAUUUCAAUAUUUAAGUGAUAUUUCUUCACAUUUCCCCAGUAUAUUUUUAGGGAAGUUGAAUUGUGGGUACAUACCACAAUGUUGUUGUGUUAUAAUUUUAAUCACAGAGAGAUUCCCAUUCUAUGUUUGAUUUGAAUAAAUACUUUAGGAUCAGAAGGAGCGAGCUGCAAAGCGACAGUCACCUGCUCCUGCCACUAGCCUUACCCCUGUCCAAUGAAUAGAGAGGGACAGCAGAGGCAACAUCAUUCACAAUAGAACUGGACAAAAAAGGUCUAAGAAGACCUCAAGACAUGCGGAGGACAUGGACCUUACCGGAACAGGUGACCAUAUUGCAGCUAAUGGCGGGGGUUUGUCUUUUGCCGAUGGCUGUGCCACAGCUGUGUGGAUGUGCCCCCAGCGCCCUGACAGUGACAAGUGGCAAGCAGGUCAUCCUGAUUGGAAUAAAUGGUGUCUGAGACAUUGGACAGUGGGGCUGGACAAACUUGCAAAGAGUGGCUACUGGCCAGCCACCGUGACUCACCAGACCAUCUUCACAGUGGGCCUCUUCAAAUCCUUUGAAGACAUGAAGGUGUUGGCCCCAGGAUGCUCCCGUCAAGCCUUUGUGGGAAUGCUUAACGGAAGAACACAUCACAUUGCCAGGAGUGGAAAGAUAUGUGGCGAUACAUUCCAGAAGGCAUUCCUCGAUUGGACGUACGGGUGGUUUAAAAUAGACAAGCUUUGUGGAAGCGAUCUCCUCCAUUGUCCUGCCUGCUCACAUGAGAUGCAUGCUAUAUCAGUGGAUGGGAAUCGCAAGCAAUACCACUUCAGGAAAGCCUCAGGGUUUGUACUACCUUCUAAUGUGUUGAUGUUUUGUUCAGGGUAUAAUUAUAACUUCGUAAAGCACAUGCUGGUCUUAUUUUUGUUAUGAAGUAUAUGUGUGUGAUGUUAUAUUGCAGUUGGUCUUCUUUUUAGAAGAAGAUUAAUUGUCAACUAGAAGGUCAUUUUCCAUGAAGGAAAAUUGUGGGACAGUGAUUUGUCUUUGUGCUUUAUCCAAAUCCCUCUGAGACACACACAGAGAGGUUGGAGCCACACGGUCUGAUGUCUGGGAUUUGAACCAGCAACCCACCUCUCUAGGAUACUUGCCAUACCUUGGUGGUUUGGUUUUAUGUAUAAUAUUUUGAUGUAAUCUUGCAGUCUGACUCUCCAUUUAGUGUUGAGUAGGGCUUCUAUGAUGGUGUCUUCCUGGCGAAAGACGAUGAUGGGUCAUCCUUCGUCAAACAUGUCCAUACAAAGACCAAUCAUACGCCAGACAAAGGAGUGUGUGGCACGUCAGAGUGGACAGUGGCCAAAGAGACGUCAGAAAAAUCAUCUGCCAAAGUAGAUGAGGACCUUGAGAUUACCGACACGGCGUGCUCCUCAAGGCCCUCAAGAUGUACAGAGGCCAGAUACAGUGGCUUGCGAAAGUAUUCACUCCCAUUGGCAUUUUUCCUAUU